Molecule: long non-coding RNA, 3199 nt
Organism: Cornus florida
Lineage: Eukaryota; Viridiplantae; Streptophyta; Magnoliopsida; Cornales; Cornaceae
Exons: 3
Source: RefSeq, a predicted model, not a curated record
UAUGGUGAGCAGUUGAGUGUCGGUGGAAAAGUCUUCAAAUGCUGAGUGUAUGUGCUUUGAGAUUGUAUGAGCAACAGAGAUGGAAAAGUUGAGAAAGAGAGCCGAGACACACAGAGAGGGAAACAGAGUGAGUGAGUCGCGAGAAAUACAGAGAGGGUCGAGAUUGAGGAGAGAGAGAGAGAGCCGAGAGUUGUAGAGUAGGCCGGAGUCUGAGGCUUUGAUAAUCUAGCGAGAAAAAUUCUUUUUUUAAGGAUAUGGAUGGCAAGUGGUGGACGACACUCCUCCACAAGGUUCGAUGGUGUAUACUGUUGGGUAUCUCUUUCGAGGGCAACAAGGAACAGGCUUUGUCGCUUCUUCAUGCGACAGCAGAGGAGAGAGUAGGGGAAGUGAAGAAGAAGUCCAGAAGGAGGGGGAAAAGGAUGAACGUUCGUGGUCUAAAUGACCCAGAUAAGAGGAAAGUGGUGAAGUUGGCGGUGAGAAAGUAGGGGGCUCAUAUGGUGUGUUUACAAGAAACGAAGAUUGCCUCUUUGUCGAAUAGGGUGGUUAGGAGUCUUUAGGGAGGUAGGUUUGUGGAGUGGGUGGCAUUGGAUGCUACAAGAUCUUCUGGUGGUAUCCUCGUUAUGUGGGAUAGGAGAUUGUUGUCUCGAGUGGACAUUUGGAAAGGGAGGUUCUCUAUCUAUUGUGUGUUUAAUUUGGAGGACUAAGGUUUUAGAUGGGUUUUUUCUGGGGGCCAAUGGGUGAUGGUGAGAGAUAUCUCCUUUAGGAGGAGCUCAGUCUUGUAUAGGGGAUGUGGCCUCUUCCUUGGUGUGUUGAAGGGGACUUUAAUGCGGUCAGGUUUACGACAGAGAUCUUUUGGUAUGAGAUAGACAGUGGUUAUGUCACAGUUCUUGGAUUUUAUUAAUGGACACCAUCUUAUUGACUUACCUUUGGAAGGUGCGAUCUUCACUUGGUCUAACAACAGGAAUUUGCCCACUCUUUCCUGGUUGGAUAGAUUUUAUAUUUUUGGGGACUGAGAGGAGAAAUUUCUGGAUGUUGUUAAGGUAGCUUUGGCUAGGGUGACUUUAGAUCAUAUUCCGUUGGUCUUGGAUUAUGGGGGGUUGAGAUCUCAAAGAACGCCGUUCAGAUUUGAGCAUUAUAUCCAGUAAUAUCUAUAAUAUUGUAAUUCAUAGAGAAUAGUAUUGUAAUUUAAAAUUUUACAUUGUUUUGACCAUUAUAUCCAGUAAUAUCUAUAAUAUUGUAAUUCAUAGAGAAUAGUAUUGAAAUUUAAAACUUCUGUAAAAUAUGAUAGCAUUUAAUUUCCCUCCCCCCCCCCCCCCCUUUCUUUCAUCCAUUUUUUUACGGAUGAAAAUUUGUAAAGAAUAAAGAAUGACACAUCCCUCUUAUUAUCUUUUCUUUCCUUGUAUCAUUUCUACCGAACAAAGGAAGUUUGUUCAUUUCUUUCUAUUUUCUUUCCACACCUCGUCCUUCCUACCUACCAAACAAAGCAUAAGAUGUCUCAUCCAUUCAUCCCCUCUUCCCUUUGUCCAUUUUCCCAUCACUCUCACCAAGUAGAGCACUAGGCGACUUAGAAGGUCGCCUUAGGCCCCAACCAAUAAGAAGAUUGCAAAAAUUUUCAUUUCCUUAUAUAUUAUAACCUCUUUAAAAGAUUUAUUUCAUCUAUUAUUAAACCUCAACAAACAAAGAGAUUUAAUGGUGGGCAAGUGGUGCGGUGAGCCCGGGAAAAUGUAAAUUUUAUCUGUAGUUGGUGGAGAAACCAUUACUGGUAUGCCAUUCAACUCCAAUUUUGUUAUUCAGAAGCAUGUAAUGAAAUUUUUUUGAAAGCCUAAUUUAUUUAAUCAUUUUGUUUUAAGAAAAAACACAAAGUCCAGUCUUCUGAUGUUCGAUUUGGUUAUUUUUUAUUGUUUAAAACCAUACAUAUACUAUCUGUAAUGUGUUGUAUUAUGAUAGUAUUGUUAGUUACAAUAACUCAAUCCCAAUUGAUUUUUCGGUUAAUCGAUCUAAAUUUCAGUUUGGAUUAUUAUUUUUUAAACCUAAACAAUACAACGAAGAUUAAAUCAGGUAAUGUAUUAAAUACUUAUUGCUAUUCUUAAUUUUAGACCUAUAAUAUUUUGUAUUAAGGUGAUAUCAGGUAAAUGUAUUAAACAAUGCUUAUGUACUAUUCUUAAUUAUGGACCUCUAAUAUUUUUGUUUGUAGUGGCUGUUGUGUGUUACAAAUGCUAUAUGCGAUGAUGUAUUGUGCGUGGAAUUUCAAAGUUUAAAAAGCGAGCUUGGAAAAAAGUAACCCUUUUUACAGUCUACAAAUUUUACUAUAUUUAGUAUAAUAUGUUUGCUUCACUUGAGUAAUAUUAUUAUGCUAUUGUAUGCAUGUGAUGACUGCUGUGUAUUACAAAUGCUAUAUGGGAUGAUACAUUUUAAGUGGAAUUAAAGUCUAAAAAGUGAGCUUGAAAAAAGGCGACCCUUUUUUUUUACUGUCUCCAAAUUUUAUAAUGUUUAAUAUAAUAUUUUUACUUCAUUUGAGUAAUGUUAUUGUACUAUUGUGGUGGUUGUUAUGUGUUACAAAUUCUAUAUGGGAUUAUGCAUUUUGAGUGGAAUUUGAAAGUUUGAAAACUGAGCUUGAAAUAAGGUAACCUUUUUACUAUCUACAAAUUUUACAAUAUUUGGUAUAAUAUGUUUGCUUUACUUGGUUAAUGUUAUAGUGCUAAUGUGUGCAUGUGGUGGCUACUUAUUACAAAUGGGACUUGUCCCACAUCGGAUUUGGAUGGGAAAUGAAAUGAGUUUAAAUGGGUAGGUAUGCAACACUACCUAACAGUUUGAGCUUUUGGGUAAAUGAAUAAGCAUCCACCCAUAAUAGUUGAUAUCAGAGCCAGACUCAUUUCUUGAUCCGAUCCCACGCCAAGUGCCCGGCCGGGAAGGCGUUUGGAUGAGCCACCCGGGUAAGCAAGGUGGUCCGACCUCAAUGAGAGCGUUGCGCAGGUUUGGGUGGGAGAGAAUGUUACAAGUGGGACUUAUCCCACAUCGAAUUUGGAUGGAAAGUGAAAGGAGUUUAAUUAGUGAAUAUGCAGCACUACCCAACAACUUGAACUUUUGGGUAAUAAGCAAGCGUCCACUCAUUACGCUACUAUAACAAUUAAUCAUUUCAGUGUACUUAAUGUCAUUAUUUGCUAUUAAUGGGAAUUUUGUUUGAAUUUUUUUAUGGGAA